AGUUUCAGUUUUAUAAUAUCAUAGAAAUUUGAAUUUGAAUUGCGAGAUGUUGAUCAUUAUUUAAUUUUAAACGCCACGCUAAUUAUAUUUUUUCCGCGCUCCGAACAAGUACUUAAAUUUGGCAAUAAAUUCAAAUUCAAAAGUAUCACUCAAGAGAAACGCCAACAGAACAAAUGAAAGCUUGGAGUUUUAUAAACAACUUCACCACAUGGUACAAGAUCUUCCAAAGAACAAAAUGCUGAUACUACUAGGUGACCUGAACAUGUGGAUAGGAAACAACAUUUGGUUUUGCAUCUGAGCCCGACAUUGUAGGAGAACCAUUUUUGCAUCAGACUGACUGAUUUUUGCUUGUUUUACUUAAUUUGCACCUGAUGCCGACAUCGUAGGAGAACCAUUCUUGCAUCAGAUGGUGUUUUGCACCUGAGGCCGACAUCGUAGGAGAACCAUUUUUGCAUCAGAUUGUGAUUUGCACCUGACGCCGACAUUGUGGGAGAACCAUUCUUACAUCAGAUUGUGUUUUGCACCUGAGGCCGACAUCGUAGGAGAACCAUUUUUGCAUUAGAUUGUGUUUUGCACCUGAGGUCGAUAUCGUAGGAGAACCAAUCUUGCAUCAGAUUUUUCUGGCAAUGUCGUUCUAGUUCCUGCUCGCGAAAUUAGAUGGCACUAGGAGUUGUUCAUACAACUCUGUAAAUUAGUCGAGGGUGCCGCUGCUAGAUGGCGGUAGAGGUGUGUUACAUUAUCCUGUAAAUUACUUUGGGUGGUCGAUACUAGAUGGCAGAAGUAUCGGAUUUUUCUGGAUAGCAAUCAAAAUCAAUAUUUUCCACUUAGUCUGUCCUGCGCUGUUAUGGGCGCUCGUGUGUUUUUGUCUUUACAUUUGCUCUCGGCUGCAACUUGCAUUUUGUCGGAUUUUAAAUUCCGCGUUAUUUAGUUCUACUGUCGAAAAGCAAACGAUUUAGUUAGUGGCUUUAUCAAGUGCCCUCGUGUGUGCUGACGUUUGACGGUCGUCAGAUCAUUUUCUGUGGCUUCGAUUUCUAGGAAUUGGAUUCAUUAAUCAAAAUUGUUCAAGUAUUAAUUCGUGAAAAUAAACCAUUUGUGUUCCGCCUGUGGAAAAAUUGUUAGUUCAAAAAUAUUAAAGUGAGUAAUUUCUAACAAUUUGCCGAAAGGUCUUUGUGCACUUUAGUACUUUAUGGAUGAAUGAACAAAAUAGUUGACUUAAUUUUAUGUAUAAAGUAAAUUUUAUUUCUGUCUAACUUUUUAAUUUUUGCAGUUGCAAUUGCAUUGCUAUAAUAAUAAAUGUAUAUGAUUCCGCCAAUAAAGGAUAAUUUUAAAUUAUAUUCGCUGGUUCAGUUCGAGUUUUAGUUAAUUUAGCGAAUUAAAAAUGAAUUAAAGUCACGAAUCACAGCGCAUCUGAUUUGUGUUUGUUUUUAGAUGUCAAGGAGUUGAACGUGACCUCGGUGUACAAUUGUGCGCGCAUUCAAUUGUGAGUAUCGAAAUUCUUAUCAUUUUCAUAUCUGCUUUGUUCACGUAGCCAGCUAUAUCUUUUCCUUGUUUAGUCGAUCGUGCGAUGUUGUUCGGUACUCACGUGUUUUGUUCACAAGUCGAUCUUCGUAACUAGUUUGCGCGUUUCUUGUGAUUUUAAGUCGGUAGUUGAAUUAGAAUCGAUCAGCAAAGAUAAUAUUUAGAAUUAACGGACUAGUACGGCGUGCAGUUAAUGAAUUAUCGCGCGUGGAAGUCAGAAUUGUGAAGUUUUACAAUGUGCGCACGUUUUUGCCGUCGGCCGUCGGAUAUCUUACGUCGGCUAAGAAGUCCGUCUCAGUAGUUUUAUUUACGUAAUGAUAUUAAUUUUGUGAAACUAAAUACUGUUUGUCCCCGCGUGGAACAUUUUAAUCGAGAAAGUGCACGUAGGUAACUGCAACAUUAACAUUCGACAAAUGAAUUAAUUAGUGAAGGUGUCAUGGACGAAAUGAAUUUAUCAGACAUUAAGGAAAAGCAAGGUAACCGUUGAAUAAGUAAAUACUCUGAAAAUAAUUCAAUUUUAACAAAUAAUUUUAAUAUUCAACAUGUACUCUAUUGAUUGUACGAGUUGCAAUAAACAAUUCUUUUAAUAUUA
Dalotia coriaria is the source of this 2110-nucleotide long non-coding RNA. RefSeq lists it as uncharacterized. The record is from RefSeq and is a predicted model, not a curated record. Lineage: Eukaryota; Metazoa; Arthropoda; Insecta; Coleoptera; Staphylinidae. The transcript has 9 exons.